AUACGGAGGGAGCUAGCGUUGUUCGGAUUUACUGGGCGUAAAGCGCGCGUAGGCGGGCUGGUUAGUUGGGGGUGAAAUCCCGAGGCUCAACCUCGGAACUGCCCUCAAUACUGCCAGUCUUGAGUUCGAGAGAGGUGAGUGGAAUUCCUAGUGUAGAGGUGAAAUUCGUAGAUAUUAGGAAGAACACCAGUGGCGAAGGCGGCUCACUGGCUCGAUACUGACGCUGAGGCGCGAAAGCGUGGGGAGCAAACAGGAUUAGAAACCCCAGUAGUCC
RNAcentral lists this ribosomal RNA (274 nucleotides) under uncultured bacterium. RNAcentral describes it as "partial 16S ribosomal RNA". It matches the Rfam family "Bacterial small subunit ribosomal RNA", at positions 523 to 796 of the family's 1533-position model. The record is from RNAcentral.